This 71-nucleotide transfer RNA is filed under the name Blattisocius tarsalis. RNAcentral describes it as "tRNA-Met". Lineage: Eukaryota; Metazoa; Arthropoda; Arachnida; Mesostigmata; Blattisociidae. The record is from RNAcentral.
UAAUAAGAUAAACUAUUUAAACAUAAGUUAUAGGACUCAUAACCCUAUCAAGGAUUCAACCCUCUUAUUAA